This 632-nucleotide long non-coding RNA is filed under the name Pan troglodytes (chimpanzee). RNAcentral describes it as "long non-coding RNA NONPTRT005451". The record is from RNAcentral. Lineage: Eukaryota; Metazoa; Chordata; Mammalia; Primates; Hominidae.
UUCUCUCUCCUCCCUGCUCCUCCUCCCAAUGGGCUUCCUCUGGCCCGCAUCACCUCUCCGCAGCAUCCUCUUUGGAAACAUGAACAGAAGACAGCAAUGGGAUUCAGCCCCUCAGAAGAAAGGACUCUGCCUCUUAUUCUGAAAAUUCCUCUCUGUCAGACCCGGCACCACUGAAAGGUGAGUCUUAGCAUCUGACUACCAGGUGGGAGAGGACAAGGAAAUGAGCCCAGGCCAGGGGAUCCAGGGCACCUAUAUAUUGGGAGAACUGAAACCGAGUGCAGGUGUGUAUGUCUGUGUGUGGUAGAGCACAGCUGUGCUAUUUUCAAACUCAAAAUUUUGUUACAUCUAAGAAAAGUCUUCACAUGAUGUCUGAAAAGCCAGCUUAGCAAAGAGGGUAACAUAAAGGUGCUAGGUCUGGGCUUGGUAUAAUCCCAUGACACCAAGACCCACCUCCUGGGACAAUGUGGUAGAAGGACGGACCCCUUCCCUCCGGGUGUCUGUAUGGAGACAGCAGGGAACACCGGGACACACCUGCAAGGCACAGUUUCUUUUGCUGUCAACAUGCAUGAUUCCCAGGAUAAACAAGGGACCUUCAGGUAAUUCAUUACACAGAAAUUUCCUGGCAAGAGCCC